GCUGUUGUAGCUCAGUGGUAGAGCACCUCCUUGGUAAGGAGGAGGUCGGCGGUUCAAUCCCGCUCAACAGCUCAA
This 75-nucleotide transfer RNA is filed under the name Sphingobacteriaceae bacterium. RNAcentral describes it as "tRNA-Thr". It matches the Rfam family "tRNA". From Rfam's summary of the family: Transfer RNA (tRNA) molecules are approximately 80 nucleotides in length. Their secondary structure includes four short double-helical elements and three loops (D, anti-codon, and T loops). The record is from RNAcentral. Lineage: Bacteria; Pseudomonadati; Bacteroidota; Sphingobacteriia; Sphingobacteriales; Sphingobacteriaceae.